Molecule: ribosomal RNA, 426 nt
Filed under: Zoramia gilberti
Lineage: Eukaryota; Metazoa; Chordata; Actinopteri; Kurtiformes; Apogonidae
Description: partial 12S rRNA
Rfam family: Bacterial small subunit ribosomal RNA
Source: RNAcentral
GGCGCUUCACACCCACCUAGAGGAGCCUGUUCUAGAACCGAUAACCCCCGUUCAACCUCACCUUCUCUUGUUUUCCCCGCCUAUAUACCGCCGUCGUCAGCCCACCCUGUGAAGGUUUAACAGUGGGCAAAACUGGUACAACCCAAAACGUCAGGCCGAGGUGUAGCGCAUGAGGAGGGAAGAAAUGGGCUACAAUUGCCAAAACAGCUAAAACGAAUUGUUGCGCUGAAACUGCAAACAUGAAGGAGGAUUUAGAAGUAAGAGGGCAAGUAGAGUGCCCCCCUGAAGCGGUUCUGAAGCGUGCACACACCGCCCGUCACUCUCCCCAAGAUUAGAGACCUAAAACAGUUCCUAAACACCCCGUUCUACAAAGGGGAGACAAGUCGUAACAUGGUAAGUGUACCGGAAGGUGCACUUGGAAUAAAC